RNAcentral lists this transfer RNA (65 nucleotides) under Dipodomys ordii (Ord's kangaroo rat). It matches the Rfam family "tRNA". Rfam says of the family: Transfer RNA (tRNA) molecules are approximately 80 nucleotides in length. Lineage: Eukaryota; Metazoa; Chordata; Mammalia; Rodentia; Heteromyidae. The record is from Rfam by way of RNAcentral.
GGUGGCUCAGUGGUAGAGCUCUUGCCUUGCAUGCAUGAGGCCCUGGGUUCGAUUCCUCGGCACCA